Molecule: ribosomal RNA, 404 nt
Filed under: uncultured Wolinella sp.
Lineage: Bacteria; Pseudomonadati; Campylobacterota; Epsilonproteobacteria; Campylobacterales; Helicobacteraceae
Description: bacterial SSU rRNA
Rfam family: Bacterial small subunit ribosomal RNA
Source: RNAcentral
AAAGCCUGAUCCAGCCAUGCCGCGUGUGUGAAGAAGGUCUUCGGAUUGUAAAGCACUUUAAGUUGGGAGGAAGGGCAGUUACCUAAUACGUGAUUGUUUUGACGUUACCGACAGAAUAAGCACCGGCUAACUCCGUGCCAGCAGCCGCGGUAAUACGGAGGGUGCAAGCGUUACUCGGAAUCACUGGGCGUAAAGAGCACGUAGGCGGCCUUGCAAGUCAGAUGUGAAAUCCAACGGCUUAACCGUUGAACUGCAUUUGAAACUGCAAGGCUAGAGUAUGGGAGAGGUAGGUGGAAUUCUCGGUGUAGGGGUAAAAUCCGUAGAGAUCGAGAGGAAUACUCAUUGCGAAGGCGACCUGCUGGAACAUUACUGACGCUGAGGUGCGAAAGCGUGGGGAGCAAACA